Molecule: ribosomal RNA, 253 nt
Filed under: uncultured bacterium
Lineage: Bacteria
Description: partial 16S ribosomal RNA
Rfam family: Bacterial small subunit ribosomal RNA
Source: RNAcentral
UACGUAGGGUGCGAGCGUUAAUCGGAAUUACUGGGCGUAAAGCGUGCGCAGGCGGUGAUGUAAGACAGAUGUGAAAUCCCCGGGCUCAACCUGGGAGCUGCAUUUGUGACUGCAUCGCUGGAGUGCGGCAGAGGGGGAUGGAAUUCCGCGUGUAGCAGUGAAAUGCGUAGAUAUGCGGAGGAACACCGAUGGCGAAGGCAGGUCUCUGGGCUGACACUGACGCUCAUGCACGAAAGCGUGGGGAGCAAACAGG